AAUGCAGUUUCAGGAAUUUAACACUUAAGUGUUUCAAGUAUUUUAUACCACAAUUGGUCUAACAGUUGAGAUGGAUGAAUUCCUUAUUGUCUGGUGCGAAAUACAGGCUCCGGUACAUUCAGAUAGAAAAGGGUAUUGAAACUUAGUUAAUGAAGAGUUAAUGAAAUUGCUACAUCAAAUCCUUGUAUACAUGUACGUUACUGUUUUAGCUACAACACAUUAGUGAAUAAUUCUCAGAAAAGAAAGAAUAACAUAUAAGUUCAGAUUGAGUUGUAUGGUUCAUUAAUUUGGGAAGCAUCCUCUGGUUUUUGACUACUUGUUAUCUCAAAGAGACUCCAUAGAUAAUCAGUUCAGAAAUGCUGUUUUGACUUGAUCCUGACUAAGAUUGCAAAUUAUCAGGUAAAAUUACAGAAGGAAAAAUAAAAAUAAGGGAAACACAAAAGAGAGAACACAGUGAAACAGUGAAGAGGACAGAGUAAAACGUGUGACAGAGACUGAAAAAAAAAUAAAAUAAAAAGAUUAAUCUGCUAAGUGAAGAAAAAGCAUGAAUUAAAAAGAAGCCAGGCUCUUUUCAGUGGUGUCCAGUGGCAGGACAAGGGAUAAUGGGCACAAACUGGGGCAUGAGAGGUUCUGUCUAACCAUCAGGAAGCACUUCUGUACUGGUGGGUGGCACAGCACUGGAACAAGCUGCCCAAACAUUGCAGAUUGAAACAGCACCUCCUUAGUAAUACUCAUACUCUUAUGAGCUACAGCCUUGAAAUUACCAAGAGUUUGGGUAUCUAGGUAUUUAUUUCUAUUUUAUUCACCUUGGGAAUACAGUAUCUGUUCGCUUGGAAUGUAUACUAUACAGCUUAGUUUGGCCCAAAAUAUUUGUAAGAAAUAAAUUUCAUGAAAUUGUGACAAAGGAAAAUAGUGAGGAAAAUUUCUAUUUCUAUUUCUGUUCUAUUGAGAAGCAGAUUAUUUAUUUUUUUUUUCCCCAUGAUGAAUUGAAGAUGAGAGUUUAUUUUGAAUCCCUCUCUCCAGCACUGGACAUGUAUUGCAGCUUUAGGGCAGGACAGAAAAAAUUCCAUGAGGAUUAGGGAUUAGCUACAAAUAGUAAGACGGUUUCUAUUGUUUUCCUGGCUUGAGUAAUGUAAAUGAAAAUAUGCAAACAGCAGAAACAACGGAAAGUAAAUUCUACUGUUUUUAUUUGGUUUGAUUUUUUUUAAGGUACUUUCAGUUCUAGGUUAUUGGACCUUUGCUUUCAUAGAGAUCUCUGGCUACAUACAGGAUUGAUGCCUGCUCAGGGCCUAAACCCUGAAAUCCUUAUUCAUUACUUCAUUUUCUUGUCUUUGCACUGUACUUAACUCCUACCUUCAACUUGCUUGCAUUUGAAAGUGAGAGAGUGGAAAGAUUCUUUUUAGCAAAGGUUGCUACGUCAUUCUCGUAACUUCAGUUUUUCCCUCUAAAAUAUCAAAACCAAAUAAGAUUUUUAGGCUUCAGAUUGCGUUACAGGAACAAGCUUUAUGAACACAGCCUAAAUUUCACAAGAUUUGAGAAACUGGCAGAGUCUAAGCCUUGGAGACCAUUUGUGCAUCUAAAGCCGGAGCAAGCACAGUCCAGCGAUGCAACCCUAAUGUUAGAAAUGAGACCGGGCGGCUUUAAGACAGAAACAGGAAGCUGUAACUAGAAUCCAGCUGAAUUCGGAGCUGGGGCACUUCACAGUCAGGCUGCAAAUCAAGCAGAUGUGCUUGCAGUGAAUUUCUGUAGUGUCUGAACCUUUCUUUGUACUGAAGGUGAUUACACCUUCCUUCCUCUGUGAUUUUUUUUCUUUUGUUUUGCA
This 1822-nucleotide long non-coding RNA is filed under the name Anas zonorhyncha (Eastern spot-billed duck). Its description in RNAcentral is "lncRNA (ENSAZOG00000015498.1)". The record is from RNAcentral. Lineage: Eukaryota; Metazoa; Chordata; Aves; Anseriformes; Anatidae.